Molecule: ribosomal RNA, 252 nt
Filed under: uncultured bacterium
Lineage: Bacteria
Description: partial 16S ribosomal RNA
Rfam family: Bacterial small subunit ribosomal RNA
Source: RNAcentral
UACGUAGGGUGCGAGCGUGUCCGGAAUUAUUGGGCGUAAAGAGCUUGUAGGUGGCUCGUCGCGUCGGGAGUGAAAACCCGCGGCUUAACCGCGGGCCUGCUUUCGAUACGGGCGGGCUAGAGUUCGGCAGGGGAGACUGGAAUUCCUGGUGUAGCGGUGGAAUGCGCAGAUAUCAGGAGGAACACCGGUGGCGAAGGCGGGUCUCUGGGCCGAUACUGACACUGAGAAGCGAAAGCGUGGGGAGCGAACAGG